GAUGAACGCUGGCGGCGUGCCUAAUACAUGCAAGUCGAGCGAAUGGAUUAAGAGCUUGCUCUUAUGAAGUUAGCGGCGGACGGGUGAGUAACACGUGGGUAACCUGCCCAUAAGACUGGGGUAACUCCGGGAAACAGGGGCUAAUACCGGAUAAUAUUUUGAACUGCAUGGUUCAAAAUUGAAAGGCGGCUUCGGCUGUCACUUAUGGAUGGACCCGCGUCGCAUUAGCUAGUUGGUGAGGUAACGGCUCACCAAGGCAACGAUGCGUAGCCGACCUGAGAGGGUGAUCGGCCACACUGGGACUGAGACACGGCCCAGACUCCUACGGGAGGCAGCAGUAGGGAAUCUUCCGCAAUGGACGAAAGUCUGACGGAGCAACGCCGCGUGAGUGAUGAAGGCUUUCGGGUCGUAAAACUCUGUUGUUAGGGAAGAACAAGUGCUAGUUGAAUAAGCUGGCACCUUGACGGUACCUAACCAGAAAGCCACGGCUAACUACGUGCCAGCCGCCGCCGUAA
RNAcentral lists this ribosomal RNA (515 nucleotides) under uncultured bacterium. RNAcentral describes it as "partial 16S ribosomal RNA". It matches the Rfam family "Bacterial small subunit ribosomal RNA", at positions 28 to 523 of the family's 1533-position model. The record is from RNAcentral.